CAGUGCUACAGGUUUUUUAGAAUGUGUCUAGCAGGCUUUCCGGUCCACACCGGAAGCCACC
This is a small nuclear RNA of Camelus dromedarius (Arabian camel), 61 nucleotides long. Its record names the gene U7. It matches the Rfam family "U7 small nuclear RNA". From Rfam's summary of the family: Animal histone pre-mRNAs are spliced by a different mechanism than nuclear pre-mRNAs and self-splicing introns. The record is from Ensembl. NCBI's taxonomy places the organism in Eukaryota, Metazoa, Chordata, Mammalia, Artiodactyla, Camelidae.